AUACGAAGGUCCCAAGCGUUAUUCGGAAUCACUGGGCGUAAAGAGUACGUAGGCGGUUUGGUAAGUCAGGUGUGAAAUCCCGGAGCUCGACUCCGGAACUGCAUCCGAUACUGCCAGACUUGAGUAAUGGAGAGGCAGAUGGAAUUCUCGGUGUAGCAGUGAAAUGCGUGGAUAUCGAGAGGAAGACCAAUGGCGAAGGCAGCCUGCUGGACAUUUACUGACGCUGAGGUACGAAGGCUAGGGGAGCGAAAGGGAUUAGAAACCCCAGUAGUCC
RNAcentral lists this ribosomal RNA (274 nucleotides) under uncultured bacterium. RNAcentral's name for it is "partial 16S ribosomal RNA". It matches the Rfam family "Bacterial small subunit ribosomal RNA", at positions 523 to 796 of the family's 1533-position model. The record is from RNAcentral.